AUGGGCUUGCAGGGAGUCAUCAAGGCUCUAAAGAUACCCAUCUCGCCAACAAGGCCUGUGCCCCAAGGAGGGUGCCCACCAUGCUCGGUGUCCCAGCCGGUCCUGCAGGGUGCUGCUGGCCUGGGGUUGGGGUGCCAAGGGGCUGUGUGGGUGCAGGGCAGUGGGAGGGCUGCUGCUGGGGACUUGCACCUGAGCCCAGUCCCCAAGGCCACCCUGAACACCAGGCUCGGGGCCGCCCAGGCCAAGGGCUGGGGUUCAUCUUGGCAACUUCAGUGCCCAGCCCUGGGCAGGCAUAAAGUGGACACUCCCAGGUCCAGACAGGCACCACCACCUUCCCUGGGGUGCUGGGAGCAAGGGGAUGUUGUUCACAGGGGCACAGAAGCCAGGUGCCAGUGGCCGCACCACCUAGGCUGGUACAACCGCCGGAGACUGGACAGACCAGUGGCCCCUAUGUCUGGACAUGGAGUUGGGUCUGUCACCUGUCAGGCUGGGAGCCCUACAGUGAGCACAUCCCUCCAUCCCAUCCCUGUGUCCCCGCCUCCCCCACGGCCACCCCCUCCCCUGUGCCGUUCGAGUCCUCAGCCCAUGGAGCCCCUGCUGGUGUCCCGUGACCGGGAGAGAAUUUGCACAUGGGGUGCGGGCUCACACGGCCUCAUCCUAGUUCGUGCUCUCGCCCAACCAUGUUUUAGGAUCCAUCCGAGGGGCUCUCUGCACAUCUGGCCCCUCCAGAACAUUCCAGAACAUGCCCUGCCCUGGCGGUGUCCUCUGCAGGGACUCCCCCUCCCUAGCUCUGAGCUGCAUGACUUCCUCUUGUGCCACCUGGUGUGCUGCGGAGGCACUGCUGGCCGGGCCCCGGGGGCCUCAGAUGCUUGGGCUGUGGCCGGCUCCAGCACUGGCCCUGGGAUCCCAAGGGUUCCUGGGGGGCUCCUCACCCCCGGAUUCACUCAGAGCCCUCUGCCUCCAACUUGUGCCUGUGGGCAUGGGCUGAAGACUGGUGUUGUGACGUACAGGUCUCUGAUAUUGGUGAGACCGGCCUUCCCCAUACACUUGGCCUUGGCUGCUGGGUCUCCGUGA
Molecule: long non-coding RNA, 1074 nt
Organism: Callithrix jacchus (white-tufted-ear marmoset)
Lineage: Eukaryota; Metazoa; Chordata; Mammalia; Primates; Cebidae
Source: Ensembl